GCAUUUAUACGGUGAAACUGCGAAUGGCUCAUUAAAUCAGUUAUCGUUUAUUUGAUAGUACCUUACUACAUGGAUACCUGUGGUAAUUCUAGAGCUAAUACAUGCUAAAAACCUCGACUUCGGAAGGGGUGUAUUUAUUAGAUAAAAAACCAAUGCCCUUCGGGGCUCCUUGGUGAAUCAUAAUAACUUAACGAAUCGCAUGGCCUUGCGCCGGCGAUGGUUCAUUCAAAUUUCUGCCCUAUCAACUUUCGAUGGUAGGAUAGUGGCCUACCAUGGUGGCAACGGGUAACGGGGAAUUAGGGUUCGAUUCCGGAGAGGGAGCCUGAGAAACGGCUACCACAUCCAAGGAAGGCAGCAGGCGCGCAAAUUACCCAAUCCCGACACGGGGAGGUAGUGACAAUAAAUACUGAUACGGGGCUCUUUUGGGUCUCGUAAUUGGAAUGAGUACAAUCUAAAUCCCUUAACGAGGAACAAUUGGAGGGCAAGUCUGGUGCCAGCAGCCGCGGUAAUUCCAGCUCCAAUAGCGUAUAUUAAAGUUGUUGCAGUUAAAAAGCUCGUAGUUGAACCUUGGGUCUGGCUGGCCGGUCCGCCUCACCGCGAGUACUGGUCCGGCUGGACCUUUCCUUCUGGGGAACCUCAUGGCCUUCACUGGCUGUGGGGGGAACCAGGACUUUUACUGUGAAAAAAUUAGAGUGUUCAAAGCAGGCCUUUGCUCGAAUACAUUAGCAUGGAAUAAUAGAAUAGGACGUGCGGUUCUAUUUUGUUGGUUUCUAGGACCGCCGUAAUGAUUAAUAGGGAUAGUCGGGGGCGUCAGUAUUCAGCUGUCAGAGGUGAAAUUCUUGGAUUUGCUGAAGACUAACUACUGCGAAAGCAUUCGCCAAGGAUGUUUUCAUUAAUCAGGGAACGAAAGUUAGGGGAUCGAAGACGAUCAGAUACCGUCGUAAGAGGUUAACCAUAAACUAUGCCGACUAGGGAUCGGGUUUUGUGAGUGUUCUAUGAUGACCCGCUCGGCACCUUACGAGAAAUCAAAGU
RNAcentral lists this ribosomal RNA (1032 nucleotides) under Aspergillus sp. W ND-2010. Its description in RNAcentral is "SSU rRNA". It matches the Rfam family "Eukaryotic small subunit ribosomal RNA", at positions 69 to 1104 of the family's 1831-position model. Lineage: Eukaryota; Fungi; Ascomycota; Eurotiomycetes; Eurotiales; Aspergillaceae. The record is from RNAcentral.